AGUUGUUCAGUUCACUCUUUGUGUCAGUGGCCUGUCACUCCCAGUUUAUCCCUGUCUGGGAACAGAACCCAGGAAGUCAUGCUUCCUCUUCAGCUCCCUUCAUGUCUUCUCUUUUAAAUUUUGCUUUACUCUAUUCUGCCGUGGUUCGCGAGGAAAAAUAAAAUCCACCAUGACCCCGACGUGACUUGAACACGCAACCUUCUGAUCUGGAGUCAGACGCGCUACCAUUGCGCCACGAGGUCACAGCAAGCUGGUGACUCUGCGUCGCUGAAGGCCUCGCUGCACCGGCUCGCUCCUGGGCUCAGAGGCUCGGGAUAGAACCUGGUCGUUCACGAAUGCAGGGGAGGAGACCGGGAUCCCGCGGCGCCAGCCACCAGAGCCGCGCAGAGGCUGCCCCGCCGCCCUUAGGCGACAAACGUUGGACUCCUCCUCCCCAGUCUCUCGCGGUGACCCACGGGGGACACAGUGUUGAGGGGACCCUCAUGGGCGAGGGGACGCCGAGGAGGAACUGAGGGAUACUCGGGAGCCGGGGGCCGCCCGGGGACUCUGGGACCCGGGGACCCGACUGACUGCGGCGGGGAGGCCGCGGCCCCGCCCCGUAAGAUGGCGGCCGCGUCUGCGGAGGGGCCGGGGUCGUCAGGCGGGGUGAGGGGACCGGGCGGGCACCAGGCCGGGGAUGACGGGGACCUGGCCGGCACUGGGCUCGGGAUGACGGGGACCGGGCGGGCACCGGGCCCGGGAUGACGGGGACCGGGCGGGCACCGGGCCCAGGACGGCAGGUCUGGGAUGACGGAGACCAGGAAGAGCACUCCGGCACCAGCGUUGGUUUUUAGUUCCCUGUCCCUAGAAGAAUCGUGGGUACGCGAGAGGACGACGCCCAAGCGAGCGGUUAGAUAAACAAGCAGGAAAGGCGCGGCAGUUUUAUUAACUAUACAAAUAAACAUUUCUUUGAGGAAAGAACAAUACAGGGAAUAGUCGUAAAACGGAAACACUAGUAUUUCCCGGUGCUGUUUCUUCGUCCGGAUUGAGGCUCGUACGCAUACCAAUGCAGAGAUCUCACCGGUAAAAGUAUCCGAAUUUUCACGAAGGGCAGAUGCCUCACCAGCACCGUUAUCGCGUGUACUUUAAAAUGCACAUGUGAAUGUGUGAACGCAUGUGCUUUUGGAUAUGUUGAAAGGCCUGAUAAAUACACAUGAACUGAGGCGCUCUUACCAUCUCAAAAUCUAAAAUGAUAACCUUUGGAUCUAUUGAAUGUUUCACAAAACCUUAAAAUGUUGCUUACACAAAACAAUAUUCACGGGGCCAUGGGAUAAAAGCUUCAUCGAGCUACGAAAUUUAGCAUUAGAUAUAGAUAUAUAGAUUUUAAAAUGAUUUCCUUCCUAAAUAAACUGUCUCCUUUGGGUGGCUUACAACCA
Mesocricetus auratus (golden hamster) is the source of this 1415-nucleotide long non-coding RNA. RefSeq lists it as uncharacterized. Lineage: Eukaryota; Metazoa; Chordata; Mammalia; Rodentia; Cricetidae. The record is from RefSeq and is a predicted model, not a curated record. The transcript is spliced from 2 exons.